This 867-nucleotide ribosomal RNA is filed under the name uncultured archaeon. RNAcentral describes it as "bacterial SSU rRNA". It matches the Rfam family "Archaeal small subunit ribosomal RNA", at positions 1 to 878 of the family's 1478-position model. The record is from RNAcentral.
CUCCGGUUGAUCCUGCCGGACCCGACUGCUAUCAGAGUGGGACUAAGCCAUGCGAGUCGACGUAGCAAUGCGUGGCGAACGGCUCAGUAACACGUAGUCAACAUGCCCAGGGGACGUGGAUAACCUCGGGAAACUGAGAAUAAACCACGAUAGGUCACGAUUUCUGGAAUGGAUCAUGGCCUAAAUCUACAUGGCCCCUGGAUUGGACUGCGGCCGAUCAGGCUGUUGGUGAGGUAAUGGCCCACCAAACCUAUAACCGGUACGGGCUCUGAGAGGAGAAGCCCGGAGAUGGGCACUGAGACAAGGGCCCAGGCCCUAUGGGGCGCAGCAGGCGCGAAACCUCUGCAAUAGGCGAAAGCCUGACAGGGUUACUCUGAGUGAUUUCCGCUAAGGGGAUCUUUUGGCACCUCUAAAAAUGGUGCAGAAUAAGGGGUGGGCAAGUCUGGUGUCAGCCGCCGCGGUAAUACCAGCACCCCGAGUGGUCGGGACGAUUAUUGGGCCUAAAGCAUCCGUAGCCGGUUCUGCAAGUCUUCCGUUAAAUCCAGCCGCUCAACGGAUGGGCCGCGGAGGAUACUACAGGACUAGGAGGCGGGAGAGGCAAGCGGUACUCAGUGGGUAGGGGUAAAAUCCUUUGAUCCAUUGAAGACCACCAGUGGCGAAGGCGGCUUGCCAGAACGCGCUCGACGGUGAGGGAUGAAAGCUGGGGGAGCAAACCGGAUUAGAUACCCGGGUAGUCCCAGCUGUAAACGAUGCAGACUCGGUGAUGGGCUAGCCUUGUGCCAGCCCAGUGCCGCAGGGAAGCCGUUAAGUCUGCCGCCUGGGGAGUACGGUCGCAAGACUGAAACUUAAAGAAAUGGCGGGGGAGCA